Molecule: ribosomal RNA, 279 nt
Filed under: uncultured bacterium
Lineage: Bacteria
Description: partial 16S ribosomal RNA
Rfam family: Bacterial small subunit ribosomal RNA
Source: RNAcentral
UGCCAGCCGCCGCGGUAAUACGGAGAGUGCAAGCGUUGUUCGGAUUUAUUGGGCGUAAAGGGCGUCUAGGUGGCUCGUCAAGUCAGGUGUGAAAUCCCUCGGCUCAACCGAGGACGUGCACUUGAAACUAGCGAGCUUGAGUACUGGAGGGGGCAGCGGAAUUCCUGGUGUAGAGGUGAAAUUCGUAGAUAUCAGGAGGAACACCAGUGGCGAAGGCGGCUGCCUGGCCAGAUACUGACACUGAAGCGCGAAGGCGUGGGUAGCGAACGGGAUUAGAUA